CUGGGUGGGUUUGUCCCCCCUUGCUGUGGUUCUACGUAUUUACACACACACACUGCCAUAAAGUCUCAUGGAAUGUUUGCCGCGUUUAACGCAAUACAAUACAACUUUCAGCAACGGAUCUCUUGGCUCUCGCAUCGAUGAAGAACGCAGCGAAAUGCGAUAAGUAAUGUGAAUUGCAGAAUUCAGUGAAUCAUCGAAUCUUUGAACGCACCUUGCGCCCUUUGGCUAUUCUGAAGGGCAUGCCUGUUUGAGUAUCAUGAACACCUCAACUCCUCAUGGUUUGCCAUGAUGAGCUUGGACUUUGGGGGUCUUGCUGGCCUAUGGUUGGCUCCUCUCAAAUGGAUCAGCUUGCCAGUGUUUGGUGGCAUCACAGGUGUGAUAAAUAUCUACGCUUGUGGUUUCCACCAUAUAGCCUUCAGCGAUGAAGGCUCUCUGGAGCUCACAAAUGUCCCUCCUCAGCGAGGACAGCUUUUGAACAUUUGAUCUCAAAUCAGGUAGGAUUACCCGCUGAACUUAAGCAUAUCAAUAAGCGGAGGAAAAGAAACUAACAAGGAUUCCCCUAGUAACUGCGAGUGAAGCGGGAAGAGCUCAAAUUUAAAAUCUGGCGUGCCUUUGGCCGUCCGAGUUGUAGUCUGGAGAAGCGUUUUCCGUGUUGGACCGUGUAUAAGUCUCUUGGAACAGGGCGUCAUAGAGGGUGAGAAUCCCGUCUUUGACACGGACUACCAAUGCUUUGUGAUGCGCUCUCAAAGAGUCGAGUUGUUUGGGAAUGCAGCUCAAAAUGGGUGGUAAAUUCCAUCUAAAGCUAAAUACAGGCGAGAGACCGAUAGCGAACAAGUACCGUGAGGGAAAGAUGAAAAGCACUUUGGAAAGAGAGUUAAAC
This 880-nucleotide ribosomal RNA is filed under the name uncultured Tomentella. RNAcentral describes it as "eukaryotic LSU rRNA". The stretch from base 481 to 880 matches the Rfam family "Eukaryotic large subunit ribosomal RNA", at positions 1 to 393 of the family's 3401-position model. Lineage: Eukaryota; Fungi; Basidiomycota; Agaricomycetes; Thelephorales; Thelephoraceae. The record is from RNAcentral.